Molecule: long non-coding RNA, 1843 nt
Filed under: Nicotiana benthamiana
Lineage: Eukaryota; Viridiplantae; Streptophyta; Magnoliopsida; Solanales; Solanaceae
Description: long non-coding RNA (NBEN_LNC025280)
Source: RNAcentral
UUACAAACAUGAUAUCUAUAUGCAAAUUUCUUAUUAAGCCUAACUGUUUGCCUAAUAGAAUUAUUAUAUAUGCAGAAAUGCACAAAUCUAUAGGCAUGAUAUCUACAUAUGAAGUUGCAGGAAUCUGAAAUAACACCCUAUAGGCACAGUAUCUACGUGUGAAGUUUCACAAAUACAAAUAACAGUAUAGCAUACUUUCUAGCCUUGUGCAUAAAAGUAACCUCCCUCCCUUCUUUAGUAGAUCCCCAUGAGUUUAUUACAAAAACAAACCAGUAGGACAAUUAAAAUUAAAAGUACAUCAGAAGCUACCAGCUACAUACGAGAAACCUAAUUUAGACUUAGCGUCUAACAAUAUAAGAUUGAAGCACUUCCGAGAUCAAGAUUUCUAAAGCCUUCUCUUAUCUUGGGUGUUUCUGAGAUCUGAGUUUCAAGAACUCCAGGAAAUGCUUACACCCCAGAUAUUAAUUAGAAACUGAAUUAAAGUGCAGUGUGGAAAAGCCAGCCCUCAAGUGUCCAAGUUUAGAGGGAGCUCAUGGGUCCCAAGGCAAGGCUCACAAGAAGAGGCCAUAACUUAGAUUCUAAGAAAAGUGCAAGUGCAAUAGAGGGGGGGUUAGGGAGUGCCAAGGCAGGCUAGUGGUUAUGCCCAACAAUAGAUAGGCUGGCAAACCCCUGACCAGCCUGUUCAACCAACAAUUAUGAGUAAAUACCUGUUGGAGGUCAGACUAGGGUCUGGACAGUGAUUAGGACACUGCCAGACCAAAGUCUCAAACUCAGCAUACAUUAAAGGGGAAUAGGGAUGAGAAGUUAAAGAAUUUAGGACUCAGAGAGUCCAGUUCAUGUCCAUGGACAACAAUAUUAAGUGCUUCCAUGUUUUUUGAACCAUAACUCGGCCAUACAUAGGGAUUACUGAUGAGGAUUCGUGUAAGAACAGGAACAAUGAAACAAACUUACAGAAAAUUAUGGCAUGUAAACAAUAAGAAAUGAAUUAUAGAAUAAAUACAUAGGGGGAGAGGCAGGAACUGAACAUGAGAACAUACCAGUUGCAGAAAAGUAAGAAACGAAAAGCAGGAUUCUUUCAAGCAAAGCCACAACCAUAAAAGAACACUUAAUGGUAAUAAGUUUAGAGAAAUCGAGUUCUUGUGAAAAUUCUAACUUCUAAGUGUAUUUUGAAAGUAUUCCGUGAGAAGUAACAAGAACUGAUUGUGUUUGAUAGUGUAAAAGGGCUUACCCUUUUAUAGUGUAGAAAAGCAAACAAGAAAGGCAAGAAAACCUUUUGAAAAUCAGUCACCAAUAUUCUCCUUUCAGUUAAGGGAUUUAAUUUCAAACGGGAGCAUGUAAUUAAGGAAAAGAAAUUUUAGUAAAAUCUGUCGUAGUAGCAGAAGAUGGGAGAAUACAUUAAGUUUAUAUAAGGAAAGCACGAAGGAAAGGAAAUUUUAGUAAAAUGUAUCACAGCAGCAGAAGAAGGGAAAAUACAUGAGGUAUAUAUAAGCAAAGGUCUCAAUAGUACUUGGUUUGUAAAGAGAAACGAAAGGGAAUCGAUCAGCCAACUAAUAAAAUCAAAGUAAGCAGGUUUGAUUCGAAUGAAACUAGUCGGGAAUAGGUAUAGAAAGGCUCAAACAAAAGGAAAUUAAGAGCAAUUAGUCAAGACCCUAUCAAAGGAGUCCAAAAUCAAUCAAUCUAUCGUCAAAAAUCUUUAAAGAGGAGAUUUCUUACAUAUAAAGUAAACAAUUCAAACAAAAGAGUCUAACAUUAAAGGGUUUAGGAUCACAUACAAAAGAGUACGAGUUCAGCUAGAGACUUAUAGUGAGACUGAAGGUCCAGUGUCCCAGAGGGGAACCCUAAU